GAUGAACGCUGGCGGCGUGCCUAAUACAUGCAAGUCGAGCGAACAGACGAGGAGCUUGCUCCUCUGACGUUAGCGGCGGACGGGCGAGUAACACGUGGAUAACCUACCUAUAAGACUGGGAUAACUUCGGGAAACCGGAGCUAAUACCGGAUAAUAUAUUGAACCGCAUGGUUCAAUAGUGAAAGACGGUUUUGCUGUCACUUAUAGAUGGAUCCGCGCCGCAUUAGCUAGUUGGUAAGGUAACGGCUUACCAAGGCAACGAUGCGUAGCCGACCUGAGAGGGUGAUCGGCCACACUGGAACUGAGACACGGUCCAGACUCCUACGGGAGGCAGCAGUAGGGAAUCUUCCGCAAUGGGCGAAAGCUUGACGGAGCAACGCCGCGUGAGUGAUGAAGGUCUUCGGAUCGUAAAACUCUGUUAUUAGGGAAGAGCAAAUGUGUAAGUAACUAUGCACGUCUUGACGGUACCUAAUCAGAAAGCCACGGCUAACUACGUG
This 497-nucleotide ribosomal RNA is filed under the name uncultured bacterium. Its description in RNAcentral is "partial 16S ribosomal RNA". It matches the Rfam family "Bacterial small subunit ribosomal RNA", at positions 28 to 507 of the family's 1533-position model. The record is from RNAcentral.